Long non-coding RNA from Oncorhynchus tshawytscha (Chinook salmon), 330 nucleotides. The record is from Ensembl. Lineage: Eukaryota; Metazoa; Chordata; Actinopteri; Salmoniformes; Salmonidae.
AGGAGACCGUGAGGAUGGAGAGGGUGUAGGAGACAGUGAGGAUGGAGAGGGUGUAGGAGACAGUGAGGCUGGAGAGGGUGUAGGAGACAGUGAGGCUGGAGAGGGUGUAGGAGACAGUGAGCAUGGAGAGGGUGUAGGAGACAGUAAUGAUGGAGAGGGUGUAGGAUAUAGUGAGGGUGGAGAGGGUGAUGGAGACAGUGAGGGUGGAGAGGGUGAUGGAGACAGUGAGGCUGGAGAGGGUGUAGUAGACAGUGGGCUGGAGAGGGUGUGGGAGACAGUGAGGAUGGAGAUGGGUUAGGAGACAGUGACCAUGGAGAGGGUGUAGGAGAC